Molecule: long non-coding RNA, 354 nt
Organism: Schistocerca americana (American grasshopper)
Lineage: Eukaryota; Metazoa; Arthropoda; Insecta; Orthoptera; Acrididae
Exons: 4
Source: RefSeq, a predicted model, not a curated record
GGCAUUGAUUGUUUCUUGCCGCUAACCAUGGAGGCACUUUUCUGCUGCUUAUUGUAACUAUUUUUUGAAUGUUGGAGCUGGAAGAAUAGAAACAUCAGAUUUUUGCCAUAUGGAAUAUUCGAAUUCACCUUAAGUGCUCAUGUCUCAAGCAACGGCAGAACAUCCAUCAGAAAAGCUGACAACGAGAACCCAAAUCAUGCCUGUCUUCUGUUGCUGACACUUUGCCUGGAACUUCCAUUGCCCAAGGUCCUUCACCUGGACCUUCUAGUGCCCAAGAAACACUGCCAGGCAAAGGAAGAUGGAGAACCAACUUGAAGUGAUGACCUAUCCUGGGCUCAACAUUCACUCAUUUCA